UUCAAGUGAGCUGUUGCGCGCAGGUGCCUCUGAAUACGCUUCGACGUCCAAUCAUGGCGGGAGAGCAGACCUGCUGCUCAACACAUAAGCCAUAGUCAACAAGAAGCGUCUGACGCCAGUUCGGGAAGCAGAAAAUGCUCCCACGAUGCACUUCGGAAUGACUCCAACUUGGUUCCUGGAAAAAUGGCGCUUGGGGAACAGUUCAAAAGAGGACACUGCACAGUUCAUCCAAAGUCAGGCUAUUGCGGCUCGGUCGAGGUAGAAUAUCACAUUGAAGUCAGCACCACCCGUCUCUCUUUGCCAAAUUCAAGAACUCUACCGGCGGCUGGUUGCCAUGCCAACUGACUGCAGUUGGCAUGGAAACAGGUUAAGGCGGACCUCGUAGAGGAGGAUGCGCCACGGACACGAAUAGAGACACGAGUGUAGUCUGCAGCUCCGGGGGAGGACGACACUGAACCCGAACAACUUUCCACCAAGCAGUUUAGAUUUCCGUUUGGAAGAGAACGUUCGGCAUCUUGAAUUUGUAGACGGGGAUCACCUUACGUACCGUGAGUACUCCUAUGCAAGUCAUGCCGGUGGGUGCAUUCUGAUCGGGGUAGCCUAGUCUUCCUCAUCUUCGGCAACCUCCCGAGGCGUUUCCAGGCUGGCUGAGGGACAAAACCUCCCUUCAGCCCCGAAGUCUCCUUCUGGUAGGAUAUACCCCUGAACACCAGUGAGUCCCCUCGGAGUCAUCCCAAAUAAAGCCCGAGCCGGACAUCCAGAUGACCAAGGCCCAACCCUCUGCAGGUGCCUCAUUGCAGUCGCGUGCGAUGUAGUCUUUGGUCUGUCCUGAGGUCUUCUCCUUGUUGGAUGUUCCCGAGAACACAAUUCCUCACAGCUGAAGAAAUAAAUGCCUGAUUUAACCAAA
Hippocampus comes (tiger tail seahorse) is the source of this 907-nucleotide long non-coding RNA. RefSeq lists it as uncharacterized. The record is from RefSeq and is a predicted model, not a curated record. NCBI's taxonomy places the organism in Eukaryota, Metazoa, Chordata, Actinopteri, Syngnathiformes, Syngnathidae. The transcript has 3 exons.